Molecule: transfer RNA, 76 nt
Filed under: Chloroflexota bacterium
Lineage: Bacteria; Bacillati; Chloroflexota
Also listed under: 10 other names
Description: Chloroflexi bacterium (soil metagenome) tRNA-Arg
Rfam family: tRNA
About the family: Transfer RNA (tRNA) molecules are approximately 80 nucleotides in length.
Source: RNAcentral
GUGCCCGUAGCUCAGUGGAUAGAGCGUCAGGUUGCGGACCUGAAGGUCGGAGGUUCGAGUCCUCUCGGGCACGCCA